UCUAGGUCUAGUGUUAACUUUAAUUUUUAUUCAUAGUUUAAACCAUAAAAUUACUGGAAUAAGAAAAAGUUGCCUUACAAAACGGAUUCAAAUAGUUUAUUCUUUGGAAAAAUCGACAUAUAGAAGUUAACGACAUUAUAGAAAUGAAGUAAUUUCAUAGUAAUGCAGCUCGAGUUACAAAAAAAUUCGAGUUCAUGAAAUCCGACAUAGAAAGAUAAGAACACAUUUGAAACCUGGUAAAACGCUUGAGCUUACGAAAAUUAUUCGACUUAGAGAAUAAUUCGAAAUGUAGAACUUCGAAUUAGAGGAAUUUAUAAGUUAUUUUAUAAGGUUUGAAAUUAUUUGAUACUAUUAUAAUGGGCAAUGAAAAAAAAAAUGCUCAUCAUGCGAAAGAUAUCACCUUAGGCAACAGGUUGGCCUUCGCUUGGAUUUGUAAGUUGAAACCGAGAGUGACCCAGAAAGGCAACGCCGUUGUGAACUUGAAUGGCUAUUUAUUUUAUUUACAAAAUUUUUCUUUUAACACCCGAUAUUUAUUAUAUUCUAAGAUUAAUUUAAUUAACUAAAAAGUUACACAAUAACGUGAAAUUAAACGUCCGCUUUUUUUUUCUAAAUAACUUUAUUUUCCCACAAACGAAAUAGAUUCUUCCGGUUAAAUUUAAAACGUGAUGACUCAAACGAAACCAACAAAAAAAUUAAGUCCUUCCUAAUUUAGAAAUUUAUUCAAGUUGUUACAAUGAAUGAAUGUGAAAAUUCUAAGUUGCGGUUUUGGUUGUGAUAGUUUUAAAACGGUUUUUUUAAUUAAAUAAAUAAAAAGAAAAUCAAAAAUAAAAAAAAUUUCGAUAAAAUAAACUGUCAAAAUGAUUAAAUGUCAGAACUUGACGUCCAUGUUCUUGGUAAUUCAACAAAUAACCGCAGUUCUACCAACCACGCGUCACGACGUCUGACGUUUAGACGAAACAAAAAUUUUCUAUAAAUAUCGAAUUUACGUUGUCGUAAAUCGUGAGGCUGCGAAAUAUCGAUACACCACGUCGAUUUUAACGUUAAACACACGACUACUAUUAAAUUAGUUGAGGUUAAAAACUUAUUAAAAAUCAUAACCUCAAAAACGCAAGCGGUGUUUAUUUUUACUCAAAAUUGGAAACUUUCUUAAAGAUAACGGUAAAAUUAAUAAACAAUCAUAGGUUGAUUUAAUUUUCAAGGUUUUGAGGGCUGAUUUUGAUAUUUUAUGUUGCCAAAAGCAUUGAUUAUCUAUCAAGAAUAUAAAAUCGAUAACUUCUCAUUCCACAUCCCUUUAAACGCAACUUAUUACGGCUUAUUUACGACAAGGAAGGAGAGUGCAUAAGUGAGUUGGUUUGGUACAGUUGUACCAAGUGUACACGUGGAAAUGAAUUAUUGUCUUAUUAUUCACGCUCUUUGUCUAGAGAUAGGAUUCACGCUUUUUAUAUCCUCAAUAACAGAUAAUACUAAUACUAUCAUGGGAUAAAUCAACAAACAUUUAACAGGAAAAGUGUCUUAAGAAGUUAGGAAUACUCAUUUUAGAUGUAUAGAUCAGAUUUUAUAAUUCAGUUAUCCUUCUGCUACAAAACUAUGCAAUGUAAAAUUGUAAGAAGUAACUUAUGAUUCGAUUUUGAUCAACUCAUAAGGUAUCCUGUCGUUAUAUUUGACCAUAUGUUGAUAAAAUAAAUAAUGAUAUAAUGUGAUGAAGUGAUAUAAUUAAAUAUAUCACUUCAUGAAUGGAUUAGUACAUUAGACAAGGAUGUCUUUAAAGGUCAUGAAGUUUCUGAGGGGUGCAUGACAUGGACGUCCGUAAGCAAGAAGGGGAGAGAUAUUGAUUUUUUGGGUAUAGAUUUUCUUCACGAAUUGAUAAUAUGUACACCAGGUCAAUAUAAAAACUGAUGUUAUGGCUCCAUUUUGUGCAGUUUUUGGUUCGAUUUGUACAGACCAUUCGUUGUACCCAAGAAAAGCAAAUGAUGUUGGGUUGGGUUGGGUUGUUCAUAUGAUUCACUUGUAAGAAAAGACUAGACGAGGAGUUUCAAAAUCAACAAGAAAAAACUUAUCGAAGCAAGUGCAACAAAACAAGAUUAAGAAGAUGCAUUGAUUGAAAAUAAUGAGCACAUGAACUUUGUAUUCCAGAUACUCAAAAUUCGUUUUAUAUUUGCCAAUCUGAUUUUUUAAUCGUUGUUAACUUUUUCCUAACAAAUAUACAUGUGUGGUUUAAAGAAGAUGUUUCUCGGUUAAAGUCGCUGCGAAAUGUUUUCCAGUUGUUUCCAUAACUAUGUAAUUAUAAAAAAUGAAGAAACAUUUUUCGAAUUCUA
This 2315-nucleotide long non-coding RNA is filed under the name Onthophagus taurus. RNAcentral describes it as "uncharacterized LOC111424770". Lineage: Eukaryota; Metazoa; Arthropoda; Insecta; Coleoptera; Scarabaeidae. The record is from RNAcentral.